This is a long non-coding RNA of Ctenopharyngodon idella (grass carp), 13993 nucleotides long. RefSeq lists it as uncharacterized. The transcript is spliced from 2 exons. Lineage: Eukaryota; Metazoa; Chordata; Actinopteri; Cypriniformes; Xenocyprididae. The record is from RefSeq and is a predicted model, not a curated record.
UGCCAUUGAUGUUCUGAAUGAUUUAAGGGUUUUGACUUCGUAAACUUUAACUUUCAUGCAGGGUUCCCACAGUCAUGGAAGACCUGGAAGUGUCAAAGUGAUUUCCAGGCCUGGAAAACUCAUUCAAAUUAUUAUGUAGUGAAUUUAAUAAUUCAUGAGAUAGAAAUUAGUCUGUGCGAGUGCCAUCUUUAUAAAAUAAAUAAUAAUAAAACAACUUAAAAACCAUCUUGAAAUUAGGUCAAAAGGUGUGGGAACCCUGCUCUUUUUUUUCUUUUUUUUUCCCUUGAUUUAGUUUUAUUAUAUUUUCCAGAGAUUGUUUUUUAAUGCAUACACAGAUUUAGUAAGAUUUCAAAGAUUGUUUGAUAUUAAUGGGAAAGGUGUCAACAAAUGUAUAUUAAUGUAGCAUAGAUUUUAAAUCAAGCUGUAAUAUUCAGCAGCCUGCAGUCAUUUCAUCCUGGUAAAUUUCCAUGCAGUGUUCUUAGCAUCAAUGUGCAAAUGGUUGUUUUUUUGAGGAAUGCAGUGCUGUGUGAUGGAUGUUUGGUUGUUCUCAUUAGGGUUGUGACGUCUCUUACUAUUCUGCUGCCAGUCAAAAGUUUGGACACACCUAAUUUUAUUAUACACUUUAGAAUAAUAGUAAAGUCAUUAAAACAAUAGAAUUACAUGAGUUAUUCAGUGAACAGAAAUUUUAAACAAAACUUCUUAAGGUGCAUCCUGCUAUUCAAAAAAGUUUACACGUUGGCUGCUGGAACUUUAAUUUUCACUCUAACAAGUCGGUUUAAAACUGUUCAAUAAAAAACAUUUUGCAAAUGGUUUGUAAAGAAAUUCGUUUGUAGGCAGUUUAUCUUUUGGAUACCCCAAUGUGUAAAAAAUGAAAUGAGGAGUGUCCAGAUUUUUGUUUGGUAAGGUAGCAUGUGUUUUCAUUUCUACAAUCGUUGAUUUAACAUUUUAUUGAAUAGUUUUUUGGAUUUUAAUGUGUUGGUAAUGAAGUCAGUUAUUUAGUUUAAUAUACACUACGAUUCAAAAGUUUGGGGUCUGUAAGAUUUUUUUUUAAAAAAAAAUCUCUUAUGCUGGUCUCUUAUGCUCACCAAGGCUGCUUUUAUUUGAUCAGAAAUGCAGUACAGUAAUAUUGUAUGUGAAAUAUUAUUACAAUUUAAAAGAACUAUUUUCUAUUUGAAUAUAUUUAAAAAUGUAAUUUAUUCCUGUGAUGCAAAUCUGAAUUUUCAGCUUCAUUACUCCAGUCUUCAGUAUCACACGAUCCUUCAGAAAUCAUUCUACUAUACUGAUUUGGUGACUAGAAAUGUUUCUUCUUCUUCUUCUUCUUCUUCUUAUUAUUAUUAUUAUUAUUAUUAUCGAUGUUGAAAAAGUUGUGCUGAACUGCAGAUAUUUUUGUGGUAACAGUGAUACAUUUUUUCAGGAUUCUUUGAUAAAUAGUUCAAAAGAACAGCAUUUAUUUGAAACACUAUAGCACCUGUGUCUUUACUGUUACUUUUGAUCAAUUUAAUGUGUCCUUGUUGAAUAAAAGUAUUACUUUCUUUAAAAAAAUUUUUACUGAGCCCAAACAGUAGUGUAUACAUGUAAGGCAUGGGUUGAAGUUGUUUUUAAUAUGCAGUGAGGUUGUAUGUGUACGGAUAUUUCAGAAAGAUAUGGUUAAUAUGUACCAGUAUGACAAUCUGUCAGAACUCAAACAAGCAUGCAAACAAAAAAUGUUUCUUGUUUGCUUCCGGAUGUCACAAGCAUGCCUGAAAUGACAGUGCUUUCUCAAUUGAAAAGGGACAGUACAUAUUUGGUGACACAGUUUCAGUUGAGAAGUGUCGCUGCUCGGCUUCCUCUUAGAUGCUUGACUUUCAGUUCCAGCGUUGCAAGUUGUACACAAUAUAUCAACUUGUUGGCAUACUCGAGAGGAAAUGGUGAACUGUCAAGUGCUUUAGAUGGCUCUGUGGCUUUAGCUCAUGUACUAGUCGAAGUAUAGUCUGAGCAGGCAGCGGCCUCUAAACUCAAGGGCUGGAUCUCAGCACGAUGCCUCCUACGUGCCAUUCACUCGCCUAGCCCGGGGUAAAGACGCUUGUCACAAACUGGUGACACCUUUUGUAGCUGAUAUGCAAAGGAGGGCCUGUGAUAGAAAGGCCUAUCACGUAGCGAACAGAAGACCUUCCCCUAUGUUUUACUUCUAGAGAUAAGGUUGCUCCUCUACAUGGUUAACUUUUUUCAUAAUUUUUGUCCCUUUAUUGCGCUUUUAAAAGGCAGAGACAGCCAUCACGCCCCAUUUAUGACUUGAAAGACAUUGUUUUCGCGUUAUUUACAUUCUUUAUGUAUAGGGGCACAAGUAUCCUUGGUCAUCUGACAGCCAGUUGUUCAGAUAACGUGAUGGGUGAUUUCCUCGAGCAUUCCUAUUCAGAAAUUACUGACAUUUUUGUGGAUGCCAUGUAUUUGUCUUUGUUCCCUCAUGAAAGUAUUUUAAAAUUGUUCAUUGAGCAGACGCUGUUUUGUUUUCUAUUUAGUUGCCUAGUGCAGUUAGAGUUAUACUUGGUACAUACAGUAUGGUUUGAUUGGCACAGCUCACAGCUUCAGUUUUUUUUUUUUUUUUUUUUUGAGUAUUGAUUUAAAUAAUGUAUAGGAAUUUUGUUAAACAUCAGUCAUUAUCUUAAAAUCAAAAUAAAAUGUAAGAAAAUUAAACUACUGCUCAAAAGUUUGGGGUCAGUAAGUUUUUAAUUAUUACUUUUAUUCAGCAAGGACACAUUAACUUAAUUAAAAGUGGCAGUAAAGAUUUAUAAUGUUACAAAAAGAUUUUUAUUUUAAAUAAAUGCUGUUCUUUUAAAUUAUAUUCAUCAAAGAAUUCUGAAAAAAAUUGACAUUUUAACAAAAAUAUUAAGUAGCAUAACCUUGAUAAUAAGGAGCAUUUCUAGUUAGGGCUGCACAAUUUGGAGAAAAAAAUCUAAUUGCGAUUUUUCUGGUUAAAAUUGUGAUUUGCGAUUUUAAAAUGCGAUUUUAUAAAAUAAAUGAGAAAAAAAAAAAAAAAAAAAAAAUUAUAAACAAUACCAGGCUUGUUUUGCUUGUUUGUAGGGCUGCACAAUUUGGCCCGAAAUUUUGUGCUAAUAUAUUAUUUUGACUAAUUAUUAUUAUUAUUAUUAUUAUUAUUAUUAUUAUUAUCAUUAUGCUAAAUAAAAAUAUUAAACCAAAUAAGAAAUAUUACUGUUGUAAUAACUUUCAUUAUUAAAGUAUUUAUCAAUAGUAUUUAAUUAUAAAUAUAACUAUAAUAAUUAGCAAAUAAUAUUUAAAACUUGUAUGACAAAAUGUGGUGUUACCUGUUAACAUGCAAGCAGUAUGUCUAUAAAUCAUUAGAAAGAUCUAAGGAUUUAUUAUCAAAUAUUAUAUUAUUAUGAUAAAAAUCUGUCUCAAUAAUUUCUUUAUUUUUGUCAAGAGGUAUGCAAAAUCAAAAAUGGAGUCCAUGUAUUUAAUAUGAACUACGUGCCCCUUAUGCAUCCACUGUGGAAAAAAAAACCCUGUACACUUAUGUAUGCUGGAGAAAAACAUAAUGAUUAUAUGUUCCCCUCAAAGUUCUUUAGAGAGAGGAAUUAUUUUUCCUAUUUUUACCCUGAAUAGGAUUGAGUGAGCUUUACUUGGCGCUAAACAUGUCUGUUUCAUACUGGACGCCGGAGGGCGCCCUUGAGCAGAUACUCCAAAUAUACGCAAUAUAACAAACGCUGUUCCAAGAAAUCCCCAAUGGGCAUCAUCCUGUCGCUGUGACUGAAUAAAAAGAAGGUAGAAACGCUUUGAUUGAUUAAACAUGAAUACAAUAAACAGACGACUACAAUAAUACAUGGUUUAUAUAUUUUCUUCAAGCCUUCUCGGGUAUUUCCGUAAUAAUAAAGUAUAUUUAUAAUCCAAUGCUAAUCAAAAUGCUAUUUCAAACACUCAGCUGACGUUAUGAAGUGAGUUUGACAUAAAAACACAUUAAAUGUUGUGUUUUGUUAGAAAAGAAGUUCAUAAAGGCUUCUCAUGUUUGGAAAGUUUGUAUAUUUGACGUGUUGCUUUUUGUAAUGCAGUGCUCUCAGAUGGAGUGUCAUUUACUACUGAUCACAGAGCAGCUCUUCACUAACACGCUGUGUACAUAUUUAUAUAAUUAAAAAUCGCAGGCUUUGCGAUGUCAUAAUCGCACUAAGCCAAAUCGUGAUUUCGAUUCGAUUACGAUUAAUCGUGCAGCCCUAUUUCUAGUCACCAAAUCAGCAUAUUAGAAUGAUUUCUGAAGGAUCAUGUGACACUGAAGAGUGAAGACUGGAGUAAUGAUAAUGAAAAUUCAGAUCACAGGAAUAAAUUACAUUUUAAAAUAUAUUAAAAAAGAAAACAUCACAAUUAGGGAUGUAACGAUUCACUCAACUCACGAUUUGAUGCGAUUCAUGAUACUGGUUUUACGAUUCAAUUUUCUCACUUUUUUUUAACAAAAUGAGAUUUAAAUGAGAGUGUCUUUUUUAUUAUUUCUCAGACAAAAUGCUGCAUAUUUCAUUGUGAAAUUGAAAUAUCUUUAUAACAAAACUAAAUUGAAAUUUUAAAACAGAUCCUAAAUCAAAUAAAUAAAAAAAUAAAUACUACAAAUAAAAUAAAUCUCUUCAUAGGAGUACAUGAACAAGAUGUUUAUUUGCUCUAUUACAGGCUGAACUAUCUGUAGCCAUUUAAAAUUAGAGGCAACCACUGCAUUUUAAUCACGAUCCCAACAAAGAUGCUGCAUACAUGCAGCAAGAGCAGUUUUUAAUUUAAAUUAGAUUGUAUACUUUUUAACAUUUGAAGCAAAAAACAGAAUGUUCAGACUUUAGCUUUGUGAAAUUAUGCUACAUAAAACUUCAUAACAGCAGACGGGCUGCAUGAGAACGCACUCUGUCUUCACAGCAGGUGGUGCUUAGGUUACCGCUGUAAACUGCGCUAUAAAAGUACUUUAAAAUGCAUUGUACGGAAGUAAGAUGAAAAGAAAAUACCAUAUAAACUUUUCUGAACCCAGUCAACUCUCCUCACAUAUACAUUCAUAUAAACCCCCGCCCCAACAUGUAUCGCGAUUCAUUUAGCAUCUCAACCGACUUGAAUCGUCACGUUUUAAUCGAUUUUCAACCGGUUCCGGAUGUAUCCUUACAUCCCUAAUCACAAUAUUACGGUUUUUACUAUAUUUUUGAACAAAUAAAUGCAACGUUGGUGAGUAUAAGAGACUUUUAAACUACUAUUGUAUUUUGCACAAAGAAUUUUUUUUUUUUUUAUAGAAACAGUAGGAUUGUGAUAUGACAGUUCAUGACAGUUAAACACAUUUCUUGCACCAAUUCUCAUUACUUUAAUAGAGGUUUUCUUUUUUGUGUGUGUGAUUCCCUGUUUUUAUGGAGUUAAACUGCAGUCAAUGCAGUAAUUUAACUGUAAUACAAAUGAAAAAAUACUGUAAUUUUUUUUUUAAAUUACAACAUCAUGUGAUGCAUUUUGGUAAUGAGAGUAAAAUGGGAUGAAAUGUGCUUGAUUGUUAUUGAAAAUGCUAAAAUGGUCUUAACACUUUUUUUAUUUUUCUUAAACAAAAAACAAACAAACUUUGUUUGUUUUGAUUCUGGGUGAAAUAUGACAUGGACAUGUUGUGCAAAAUCCACCCAAUCAGUUCAACUUACAAAACAUUAAAAGUAUCACACAGUCAUUCACAACAUAGGCGUAGUCUGAGGCCUGCAGAGUAACAUUUAUUAAUUACUUUGUCCCAUAUGUGAUAUUGUUUGACGUUCUAAGUAUUGGGAUUAUGAGUCUUAACAUCUGAAUGUGUUUUACAUGAAUUAGCUCAUUGUGCAACAUGAGAUCACAUUUUGCCCCAUCUGCUGGUUAGAAUGUGGAACCACUUACAUUUUUGCCUUUUUUGUGAUGUGAUGAUGCACGUUUGCAUAUAACAUCCCUGACAAAUAACCAGAUAUGUAAGACAGACCAAUAGAAUAUGAAGAUUAGCAUUAAAAAGUUAUAGCCGGCCUUCAGUUGACAUUACCUUCAGCUUUCAGGGCUCAGUUACAAAACAAUUGUUUGACCUACUCUACUAGUCGUAUAUAAGUACAGAUCAUUUGUCAAGUUUCAUACAGUGAUUCAUUUGUGCAACUGUCUCAAUCUCUCAACACCAGCGCAGGUUAGAAUGCACUUUUUCACCCAAUCUGGUCAUCUCUCUCUAAUGCCUCUCUGUGUUCUCGAACCUCAAAGCGUCUUUGUAUUCGGCAAGCAUUCUCUCUUUCUGUUAAAACAUGCUUCUCUCAACACCUCUGUUCCAGGUAAUACCGCUGACAGUAAAGCAGUACACAAUCUGUCAGUCUUCAGAACACACUUUUCAGGUACUUCCUGUGGGGGAACUUCUGUAGGCCUUUGCUCAUGUAGAGUUCCCAUCUCAGUUUUGUCUUAAGAAUGAAAGCUUGUUCUUUCAUGUUGUGCAAGCAGCAGUCACACUAAAUUUUUAAGCAUGCAAAUUUUCACACUUAUAAGUGGCUGAUUUAGCACACUGUGUAGGCAGCAACCCGAUGUAUCAUACAAAUAGCACUUCUUAUGUGGAGUGCACUAAUUGAUUCCAUUAUGGCGCUUUUUCACUGCAUGGUACGGCUCACUUUUUGGCGCUUUUCCACUGCACGGUACAGAAUGGUAUGACUCGCAUAAAUAGUACCACCUCGGUUGAGGUUCCAAGCGUGUCAUACCGAUAUUAAAGGGUUAGUUCACCCAAAAAUGAAAAUUCUGUCAUUAAUUACUCACCCUCAUGCCGUUUUACACCCGUAAGACCUUCGUUGAACUUCGGAACACAAAUUAAGAUAUUUUUGUUUAAAUCUGAUGGCUCCGUGAGGCCUACAUAGGGAGCAAUGACAUUUCCUCUCUCAAGAUCCAUAAAGGUACUAAAAACAUAUUUAAAUCAGUUCAUGUGAGUACAGUGGUUCAACAUUAAUAUUAUAAAGCGACGAGAAUAUUUUUGGUGUGCCAAAAAAAACAAAAUAACGACUUAUUUAGUGAUGGCUGAUUUCAAAACACUGUUUCAGGAAGAUUCGGAGCGUUAUGAAUCAGCGUGUCGAAUCAUGAUUUGGAUCGUGUGUCAAACCACCAGACUGCUGAAAUCACGUGACUUUGGCGCUCCGAACUGCGGAUUCGACGCGCUGAUUCAUUACGCUCCGAACUAACCCUUUAAAUGUGACGUGUAAACACUGCAGAUCACUGAUUGGUCAGAGAGAAUCGUCACUACCAGCGUCAUUGGAUUUGAAGCAGGAGACACCAAACCCGCUAGAUUUAAAUAGUCAGUAACAGCCGCAGUAUUAUUUGUUCGUGCGACUUUUUUUAAACGACUUGCUUUAAACAACCGUCGCACACAACUUGAAAAAAGAAAUGGUCAUGGCUGUAUCGUGGUCAGUAGACAAGGUGCAGACUCGUUGGUAGACGAGGAGCUCACCCACAGCAGUAGAGGCGGUGCAACUAUAACUAUCAGUCUAUAAUCCCACCCACUUUGAAGCGAUACUAAACUGCAGUGGAAAAGCAAACUGAAAGUAAAGCGCGCCAAACCGAGCCGAGUUGUACCAUGCAGUGGAAAAGCGCCAUUAGAGUUUGUUGCUGAGAUAACAUCACAAUACUCUAAGCUUAAAAAAUACACAGCACACACUUAAAGGGGUGGUUCACUGUUUUUUUUUUUUUUUUUUUCCCUCUAGGCUUAAUUGUGUUUAUGGGGCAUAGUUUAACAUGUCUUAAUGCUUUGUUUUUAAAAAAACGCCGUAUUUUUCAUAUAUUUUACCUUUAUUCUACACCGCUGCCAACCCGGAAGUUAGCGGUGCACGGGUUCCCUCGAUCGAAAGCCUAUGCGUUUUUCCCAUAGACUUUUGGAAAAUCGCAAAAAAUAAGCUCUGUGUUUAACAAAGGAUUAUGACACUUACACGUUUUGUCCGUCAAGAUAAUCUUUACAAGUUAACACAACAUUUAUACAUUUUGAAGCCUAAAUUUAAAAACUUUUUUUUUUUUCUUUUUUUUAGGGUAGCUUUUUCUUGAUUGUCUUGAUUUUUAUCUUUUGUAUGUAUGUUUUUUAUUUAUAUAUAUAUAUAUAACUUGUUUUGCUUUGUGUGUGUGUUGUAUUCUCAUUUGCUUGUUUUAUGUAAAGCGCCUUGAGAAGCUACUUUAAAGGUGCUAUAUAAAAAUAAAGUUGUUAUUAUUAUUAUUAUUAUUAAAUAAAGUCGUCAGAUAUAAAAAGCUAACAGUAGGCUAUAAACGGACUACAGCACACCAUGGUCGCGGAUCAACGGCACCACCACCAAGCUUCCUCAAACUUUAUUUAAAAAACAACUUUAUUUAAAAACAUGCUCGCUGAUUAUGAUCUGCGCUGUGUAUGAAUACUUAUCCACUUUUUCAUAAGAAAUGCUGUCCAAAUGUCCUGUUUGUCAUGACAUCUAAAGUCCCCGCCAAAGGAAGUCCCUUUUAGCAAUUUGUUAGCAACCGCCAUUUUUAAGACACAAUAAAGGUUUAAAAAAUCACAAGUGGGUUAUAACUGGUGUUUUAUGUCAUAGAUCAAAACGUGAAAAUAUUUAGAGGCUUUGUUAACCACAGACCUUAUUUCAGGCGAUUUAGCAAAAACCCAUUCAAAAAACCCAUAGACUUUAGGACGAUGGAACCGGAAGUCCUAAAAUGCUAACUCGCUUCCGGGUUCCAGUCUUUGCUAUGGCGGAAAUGUAAAUAAUAGCGUCAAUAUUGCCAUAUCAAUUUGAGCCCGAAUCAGACCCAGAUAGCAGUAAUGAUGAAGAGGGUCAAGCAGAACCUCUGCAAGCACGGCUUUUAAAGGGCGCUUAUGAAUGUUAAGUAUUUUUGUUUGUAUUUGUGUCAGUGUUUAGAUAUGCUGUCACUUGUAAAUGUUACUGCUGCCCCAUAGUGUUCUGAUUAAAGCUUUACUGUAGCUGAAUACAUGACUGAGUAGUAGCAUUUUUGUAAAGGUAUUGUUUAAUUUAUAGCAUGAAACGAGCAUGUGGGUAAACACAACAUAAAAGCCGUAAUGAAACAAUGCUGUACACUGAUAACAGAAACGCCAACAAACACCAACAGAAGUUCGCUGGUGUGAUUACAUAGAAGUUUGUUGGUGUUUGUAGGCGUUUGUUGAAGAAGUAUGAAAAAGAAUUUAGCUAACUGGCUGGCGAAGCCAAACCGCGUUGGUCUUUGUUUACAUCCCAGAAACUAUAUAACUUUAUAAAAAAAAUAAAACAUACUUACAGGUUGGUGCCCAUAAACAGCAGCUUCUGCUUUUAAAGUGGGAACUGCUCCAUCUUUCAGUAAUAGUCUUUGUGCAAAUCCAGCAUUGAACUUGUGUAGAUUCUGGAAGCUGUCUUCUGUAAAAUGUGCAGCACAGACCGCUAAAUUAGCAUUGUAAUUGUCAGGAACAGAAUUAAACAUAAAUUUUAAACAUUGUUCCCAAAGUCCAGCGUCCCUAGGAAGAAGACUUGUAUGCACACAACAUGACCUCGCCCACUUUUUUGUGUGUUCCCGGGGGCAGAGUUUAUGUUAAUUGUAGGGUUUAUGAUGUCACCAACCUGGGAAGAAGCUUGUUGUAGUCCAAACCGGUUGUUUUUGUCGGCAUUAAACUGCCAUAACUUUAAAAGACAAUAUCUCCAUUUGCAUUGAACUUUUAGCACUAACUUUGCAGAUACUAAUGUGGUGGCUUUCUCUGUGUUGCAGCAUUUAUUAAAACAUGUUUAUGUCAUAUUGUACUAGCAGAAUAUGCCAAGAGUGAGGGUCUGAUUCAGCCAGAUGUUUAUGAGAGGGCGUUUCUGGACAUAUCUGUUGCUGAUUUCUGUAUGUCACCUUUUAUUCACUCAAUCUGUUUAUAUUUACCAUAGUCACAUUUAGUUUUUAGCCAUACCUUAGCUUUUCCACACCCAUCUAUGAAUUUGCAGUGUUUCCAUUCAGAUGUUUUUAUGCAUAUUUUGAAUUUAUGCAUAAAAACAGCUGGAUUGGAAACAAGACUACUGUUACAUUAUGUUGAGAAUUUAUAUUAUACUAAUUUAAUUUAAUUUUCAUAUUGUUCAUACUGUUGAGAAAAUAUUUUACAUUGCCAAAAAAAAAAAUUCUAAACAAUUCAAAGUUUGUACUGUCGGGUUACUUUUGAAACAUUUGAUGAAACUGAAAUUCUCAAUUUAAAAUGAAAAUGUAAUUUAAUAUUUUUUUUUGCAAAGAUAAAGGACAAAAUAUGUUUGCAGUUACAUAUUAACAAGGUCAUAGUCAGGUAUAUCUAAUAAAAACAAGACAAACGCAAAAAAUCUAGCUUGUAUUGCUGUGUUACUUUUGACCCACCUGUGUGUUACUUUCGUCCCAACUGACCGGGUCGAAAGUAACAAUGUGCAAUUUAUGUUCAAAGUGAAAUUAUACUGAAGCCGUUCUACAUUUGUACAAAAUACCACCUGGUAUUGAUAGACCACACUUGUGAGUUAUUGACCACAGCAAAAAUAUAUUGCUGUCUAAAGCAUAUUUUAAAAGUACAUUUUUGUGAAAAAUGGUAUUUUCGUUCCUGCUCUCCCCUACAGUGUUGUUCAGUGCAAGAUUUUGAUGUUAUUUAAGCUAAAAUAAAGUAAGGGAAAAUAUUUGCACUAACUGUUAAAAACUAGUACUGUAUGAUAGAUACAAUGAUAGAGACACAGCUGUUUACAUUUUUUAAGUAUGGCAAAAAUAUUUUAGUAAUGAAAUUUGAAGUAAAUGAGAAGUAAUGCAAAGGAAAGUAAAUUCUCAGAAAUUGUGCGCUUUCUUGUGCUUGAAUGUUAAAAUGGCCCUCCUAUGAGGUGUCAAUCGCAGCAAUGGCCCCCAGCCAAUUUGAGUUUGAGACCCCUGCUUUAGAGGCAAUUACUGGAACAGUCUCAGGAGUGUAUCAAUUGUUGGAUGUGCACCAGUGAUGCCCAAAUAUGCUGCCUAUGUAGGCUGCUCAGUAGUUUUUGUAAGUCUUGUGUGACCAUCCCUCACGUUUUAAAUGUUGGAAAGACUUGAAAUGCCUUGUUUUGGUUGUCGGCAUCAUGAUUCACACUGACUCGUACACCUUGUCUUUCUUCCUGUUCAAACCAUUUCACAUGUUCUAAUGGCAAAUGCAUUUGCUCUGAUCCGCUUCAGAGGUAUAAAUAAUGUACUACACUGACCUCAGUGAAAAUGAUAAUAUUUGCUGGAAGCUGUAGUAUCAACACGUAGAUGUGUGAUGUCGAAUGCUUUCUAAACAAAUGAUCCUGAUGUUUAUUGGAUCCAGAUAUAAUAUGCUGUCCCCAUGAGGUUACAUGCAUAGUAAGAAGAAAAAGAGCCCUUUGGAGGAGUGUGGUUGUGGGGUCUCGGCCCCCACCGGAGAACAGCCAGUGUUCCACGGAUUCUAGGAAAAGCUGUUUGCUCAGAGUCCAGAUAUUCACACAUGCGGUAAAUCUACUCCUGUCCCCUCCCAUUCCUAUAUAGAGGGCUUUGGAGAGGAGGGUCUCCUCCUGCCUAACUGCUGUAGCCCUCCCAUCCUGAUAUAGGACAUUCUGUCCUUUUUCUUAAAGAAAAGGCCCUGAUAGUUUGGGGAAAUGGAGGUAAUGUGGUCCCCUACCUUGUUGAGACUUAUCACAAGAUCUUAAGUGAUUUCUCAACUUUUUAAUACUCUGACCAAUCUUUAUUUAGAUGCUUAGGAUUCAUAAUUGUAUCUUUAAGUGUCAUUGAAACUAAGUUAUAAUACAUGCUGUGUUGUUUACCUAUGACUGGGCAAUAUACAUAGAAAUUCUGUCUAUGUAUUCUGUCUAUUUUUUUUAUUCUUUAUUCUUUAGAUUUUAUAUAUAUAUAUAUGUAUUUGCUCUAAAAAGACUUUAAAUGGGAACUUUGGGCAUUGUUGCAAAUUAUUUUCAAAAUAUAUAGUGCGAUUUAAUUAAAGUGAAAGAGAAAAUCUAGUGACAAACACUACAGUUCAAACGUUUGGGGUCAGUACAAUAUUCUUUUUAAAUAAAUUAAUAAUUAAAAAAACAUUUUAGUUACAGUAAAGUAGGGCUUGGCAAUAUGACCAAAAUCUUAUAUCAGGAUAUGAGUCAUUUUAUAUCACGAUAACGAUAUAUAUAACGAUAUAGUUAUUUUUGCUUUAAAUAAGAUUUUUAUAAUAUCAAAAUUUUCCAUAUCAUUGAAAUUUCAUAAUUAUCAUCAAUUUCAAUAAUUUAUUUAAAAAAUUAAUACUAGCCUAAAAAACUCUCAAGCUUACUGAAGACAAACUGUGAUAAAGAAAGAGCAAAGAAAACAAACUACAAUAGAACAAAGACAGAUGAAAUAGACCUACAUGAAAAAACUUCAAGCACUAGAAAAUGUAUAAAGUAAUCAAAGGUAAAAAAAACAAUGCAUAGUCUUUACUGUGUAAACUAAAUAUACAUUUAUUCUUAUUAAAGUUACAAAAGCAAGCAGUGAGAGAGUUUCUCUUUUGUUGUUUGAUUAACAUUAAUAAUGACAGCAGGUAAAUUUGGAUGCUGUCUCUUUAAGACUGACUGCACCGAUCCAUUAACUCAAUCGAGCCUUGUCUUUCUCAACUGUACCUUCACUUAAGACAUAAGGCUCUGUUUACUUGCAAAUACUUGGUCACUUUGGCACAUAGGUAUGUGUAUUUAACCGUUCAAGCCCAAUUAGGCCUCAAAAAGCACUCAGUUCAGUCCUCACACGCUCUAUGAGCAGCAGCUUCAUGUCGUGCGUCUCUCAGAGAGCGCGAACAUAUGCUGAAAUCAGGGGCGCUGUUAGGGCCCAGGACGCUAGGGGGGCCCCAAAUCACGACUUUGGAUUUUUUGUGUGUGUGAUUUUAUUUUUUAUUUUUUAUUUUUUUUUUUCCUUACAUACACCAACACGUUAACUAAUAAUAUUGUAGUAAAAUACAAUUUAAAUCUGUAAAUUAUAGAAAGUAAGAAGUGAACGUGAGCACCCUCUCUCGUCACUUCAGAACACAGCGCAUGACAUAUUAACCGCACAAAAAAGAACAGGAUGGAUGGAAAGAAGCACCUGUCAGGAACACAAAAGUGAAAAUGUAAAAAAUAAAAAAAGUAGGGAUGAAGACGUUAAAAGGAAGUUUUCCUUACGAAAUGGGCCCCUUACAAAUAAGAAUAAACAGUUGGAGAUGAUUGUUGGUCGCGGAUGUGUCGAAAGACCCAAUUCAAGAAGUCUGUUGUGCAGGCGGUCUUCUGUGUGGGUGCAAAAACUUUAUUCUUCAGAGAAACCUUGAAUCAUUAUUUCCGAAUUUCUUUGUGUUGGCUGGGGAUAUUUCUAUAUUCUAUGGGCUCUAUAUAUUCGCGAGGGCAGGUCCGAAAUUGCGUUCCGGGGGGGGUGGCGGUUGUGAGUUUCUCCCUCGGUAGAAAUCGCAUCUCGGUGGGGAGAAAUGGGAACGCGGGGGCACCGUGAUGUGACCGCAAAGGGCACUUUCACUUUCGCUCAAGCCCCCACACCCCCACCCCCCUGUGCACGCCACUGUGUUAGUUGAUAUAAUGCGCCAUGAGUUUCCACCACAUUUCAGAGGAUCUGUUGGAUUUACAUCACGUAAAUUCCAUUUUAAAAUCCAUUUUCCCCAUUUUCAUACACAAUCUGUAUCUGAUAUAUAUAUAAAUCACUUCGUCAAAUUAUAUAUUUGAAAGGAUAGCUAUGCAGCUUCCAGUGUAGGCCUAUGGAAUUUGAAUUUAAAAAACUAUAAAUGUCUUCGCCAGCCAAAGCGCCAGCCAAAGCGCAAAAGCACGUUUGAAUUAUCAGUGACGCACUGAACGUUCUAAUCGAUCGAAUCGAUCGGUUGAAAUCGAUCACGUUUCGAGGGUGGAGGGGGGAUGUUACUUGAAAUAAUAUAAAUGUUAACUAAUAAAUUAUUUCAAUCUCUUAUUAAAUGUCAAAAAAAAAAAAAAAAAAAAAAACUAUUCAUCUGGAAGAAGGGGGCCCAAAAUUUUGUCUUGCAUACCCCCCUUAAAACUCUUCACGGCGCCCCUGGCUGAAAUGAGUUUUCUUUCGCUGCUAAUUGCACUUAAACGGUUUAAAACCACUUGUUUUAAAA